UGGCGGCCUCGGGUCCAUCCCGAGGCCACGCCCGUCUGAGGGUCGGCGAGUCAGACAAGCUAUCGCCUCCUUUCGUGGCAGCAGGCUUCCCCACAGAAAACGUCUUUUUCUAUCGAUCAUUUCUUGCUCUGGAGUGACGAAGAAUCGGGUCGCUAGAAUGUGGUUGGGGCCGUGGAGGCGCUUUGGGUUUUCGCGGAUCGCUUGCGAUCCCCGUGACUUCAAGUGCAUGCUGCGCCGUCUGUCAUCUCGUGACGUCUCGGUGCUCGGAACUGCUCUUGUGUUUCGGGCACUGGCGACAUAAGCGAGGGAGAAAUGUUAUUUCUCUCCUAACCGACGCCGCCGGCCGUCGUGCUGGACUCGGAUUGAUCGGAUAUCAUCGAGCCGCCGGCGUGCUGUAGGCUGCGGGGUGGUGGAAGAAAUGAAGCUCAUGGCGGCGCCCAGUUUCAAGCAAAGCAGCUACGCGUGCACCCGCACAGCGCCGCUUGCUUUUGUUUCAUAUAUCCGACCUCAGAUCGGACGAGAUUACCCGCUGAAUUUAAGCAUAUAACUAAGCGGAGGAAAAGAAACUAACAAGGAUUCCCUCAGUAACGGCGAGUGAAGCGGGAAUAGCCCAGCACCGAAUCCCUCAGUGUCAUGCUGACGGGAACUGUGGUGUGUGGGACGCCACCAGUCGCAUCAGAGGGCGCCGAAGUCCUCCUGAUCGGGGCUUCACCCAGAGCGGGUGUAAGGCCUUUGCGGGUGCCUCUCUGUGCGGCCGCGAGCGUCUCAGGAGUCGGGUUGUUUGGGAAUGCAGCCCAAAGCGGGUGGUAAACUCCAUCUAAGGCUAAAUACUGGCACGAGUCCGAUAGCGGA
This 852-nucleotide ribosomal RNA is filed under the name Cepaea nemoralis (banded wood snail). RNAcentral's name for it is "eukaryotic LSU rRNA". The stretch from base 503 to 852 matches the Rfam family "Eukaryotic large subunit ribosomal RNA", at positions 1 to 344 of the family's 3401-position model. The record is from RNAcentral. Lineage: Eukaryota; Metazoa; Mollusca; Gastropoda; Stylommatophora; Helicidae.